Molecule: unclassified non-coding RNA, 222 nt
Filed under: uncultured fungus
Lineage: Eukaryota; Fungi
Description: partial contains 18S rRNA, ITS1, 5.8S rRNA, ITS2 and 28S rRNA
Source: RNAcentral
AAGGAUCAUUACCAAAACUUAGCUGUCUGGCCGCGAGGUCGUGACGCUUCAACCCUCUGUGAACCAAAAAACCUUUCGCUUCGGCAGCCGCCCGGUCGCUAACCCGACCGGCGUGUCAGCCUGCCGGCAGCACCAAACAAAAAACUUGCUUUGAAAAUUAUGUCUGAUAACCAAAUUUUCGAAUGAAAAUUAAAACUUUCAACAACGGAUCUCUUGGUUCCC